CCUACGGGACGCAGCAGGCGCGAAAACUUUACAAUGCGGGAAACCGUGAUAAGGGAACUCUGAGUGCCCGUAAAAUCGGGCUGUCCGUCAGUUUAAAGAACUGGCGAAGAAAGGGCCGGGCAAGACCGGUGCCAGCCGCCGCGGUAAUACCGGCGGCUCGAGUGGUGGCCACUAUUACUGGGCUUAAAGCGUCCGUAGCUGGUUUGUUAAGUCCCUGGGGAAAUCUUCCGGCUCAACCGGAAGGCGUCUCAGGGAUACUGGCAGACUAGGGACCGGGAGAGGUGAGAGGUACUCCAGGGGUAGGAGUGAAAUCCUGUAAUCCUUGGGGGACCACCUGUGGCGAAGGCGUCUCACCAGAACGGCUCCGACAGUGAGGGACGAAAGCUGGGGGAGCAAACCGGAUUAGAUACCCACGUAGUCC
Molecule: ribosomal RNA, 421 nt
Filed under: uncultured Methanoregula sp.
Lineage: Archaea; Methanobacteriati; Methanobacteriota; Methanomicrobia; Methanomicrobiales; Methanoregulaceae
Description: bacterial SSU rRNA
Rfam family: Archaeal small subunit ribosomal RNA
Source: RNAcentral